RNAcentral lists this long non-coding RNA (11920 nucleotides) under Eucalyptus grandis. Its description in RNAcentral is "long non-coding RNA (EGRA_LNC005580)". The record is from RNAcentral. Lineage: Eukaryota; Viridiplantae; Streptophyta; Magnoliopsida; Myrtales; Myrtaceae.
GAAAAUUCUCAACACCCUGGCCAAAUCUCGAAUUGCCUGUAGUUGAGGCUCUUGUCUUGAAUUUUCGGACCAACAUGCAAACCAAAACCUAUGCUUUGCCUGAAUUCAUCGCAAAUUCCCCCAUGCUCAAGACCUUGAUAGUAACAAACUACAGCUUCUUUUCCGUUGAGCUGGGCAACUUCCAUGUCAUUGGGUCCAAUUUAAGGAGGAUCAGGUUUGAGCGUGUCACGGUUCCAUUCCUAAGCAUGGGAAAAUUAUGCUUGCAUGAUUUAGAAAAGAUAUCAUUUUUCAUGUGCGACAUUAGUCAGGCUUCGACGUCGACCAAUGCCAAAAUCUCAGAUGCAAUGCCAAACUUAAAGGAGCUCGACAUGGACUAUUGCAACGAUCUUGUGAGAUUACCAGAUGACAUCUGUGAGAUAAAGCCUUUACAGAAGCUUAGCAUCACAAAUUGCCAUAAUUUCUCUGCUCUCCCCGAACAAAUUGGGCAAUUAGCAUAUCUUGAAGUGGUUCGGCUUAAUUCUUGCACAGCCUUGUCACGGUUACCAGACUCAAUUAGAAGCCUACAAAAUCUGAGACUUCUCGAUAUACCUGAAUGCCUGAAUCUGACCGCAUUGCCUGAUCAAAUUGGUCAUAUGGUUAGUCUCUAUAGGAUAAACAUGAGAGGAUGUUUGAAGUUGUCUGGAUUGCCAAAGUCAAUUGUAAAGUUGAGGAACUUAAGGAAGGUGGUUUGUGAGGAAGAAAAAGCUGUCCUGUGGGGUCCUCUUAAGAACACUCUCUCUCAAUUGGACAUAACUCUCUUUGAAGAAGAACCCAACUUAGAUUGGCUUGAGUGACCAAGGUAAUGACAUCGAUGGUAUGUGGAAUUUUUAUCAAAUAUUGAAGGUCGUCUUUACACUUUUUCAUAUUGAUGUGGACCGAUCAAUCAUAUUCUUUUCUAAUAUUUUCUUAAGCCACAUUCAUGCUUGCACCUAGAUAAUUUACUUCUCUAUGACUAUUGAGGAUCCUAGGGUCGAAUUGGCCUGGAUUAACAAGAUCGAUUGAUUUUGACUCCUUUAUUUGUAAACUCGAAAAACACUCACGCUUUGUUCACCACGCCAGGUCUUAAGACUCUUAGGGAAGGGUCUUAAUGAGCUAACCACUAAAGUGGCGCAAUGCCAAACGCUAACGGCGCACUUGCUCUCCUAACUCCACGGCAAAGCGAGGCAUCUACUCAUAUGAAUGUGCGUACGUACACAGAGAGAAGGGUUGGAUUGGGGUAAAGUGACUAUGAUGUGGUGGUUUGUUGGGGCCUUCGAUUGCCCAGAGGAGGUCAACACCUUCUCAAUUCCUUAAGGUAUAAAAUGUUUUAACUUUAUCAUAAUUUUCAUAUCCCGUCCAAUCGAAAAAUUAUCUUGCUCUUUAUUUCUUGAAUUUACAUUAUAAAUUAUAUUCAUAGUAUCUGACCUCGUCCAAUAUAUUCGAAAUACACCACCAACCUCCUAAUAGUAGAAUCUGUAUUUUUACCAUCAACAUCGAAUACUCACUUUUAAUUUUAAAGGUCACAUGGUUGGUUAAAAUGCUUUUUAAUUUUCAGUGAGAUCUACUAAGUUUACCAUAAAACCUAUGGAAAUCAUUGUUGAAUUGGAUUGCAGUGCACAAAAAUAAAACAAUCCAUUCAUGAUACGAAGAAGAUUAAACCUUGGCUGUCAUAUUGUUAACUAAACGUCUUGGGCUAACCGUGAUAAAUGGGUCGUUCUAAAAUUACGCAACCUAAUUUCAUUCAUUCUUUUUCAACUUUUCCCUCGCAGGGCAACUUGCGACGAGGUCAACGACUAACGACAUGUCUUCUUCAACGCCUAACGUCAUAUAAUAAAGGAGUACCUCAGGGAGGCCCCCAAUGGCCGCCCCUAGUAGGAAACUUCCCGGAUGAUUACCAACAUAUUCGGCCCGAGAAUAAACUUCCACGACCGCAAGCUACCGCUUUUAUAAAAAGAGUCUCUCUCACCUCUGUUCAUCCCAUUCUCCAUUGUUGCUUCAAAGACCAAAACAUUCCUCUUCCUUCUCGCCUCUGCAGAAAACCCAGAAUAAAAAGCAGGGAAAAGCAUCCUCUCCAAAUCUUUGGACGUGGGUUUCAGUUGUUCGAAGCAUCCUUGCGACCCAUCGAAGUUUUGGAUUUUUUCUUGGAUUGUUUGGUCUGUGAAGAAAGAAAGAACCGGAAAUGUCUGUUGAUUUUGCAGGAGCUGCUGUGGGAACAGCAUUCGGCGAGCUGUACUCGCUUGUUAAGGAGGUAGCAAAAACUGUUGCCGCGUUUCAUCCCCAGCUCAAGAAGAUCGAAUCUACCUUGAGUGAGAUGGACCCGAUCAUAAAGAAAAUCUACUAUCUCUACGAACAGCUGGACCGUCUGAAAGAGAUGGAUCCGAUCAAGGAACUAUUGGAUGAAGGCAAAGGACUAGUCAACAAGUGCUUGAUGAUCCACCCAGUCAAUCUGUACAAGAAGUAUACGCACUCGAAUAAGCUGACUGAGUACAACGCAGCUGUCCGUGAGAAGUUCCAGAUUUAUGUGCCGCUGCUAGCCGCUAGGAACGAUGCAGAGAUGUUGAUGAAGAUGGAAGAGAUCAUGGGAAAACUCAGCUCCAUCUACUCCAGUCAAGCAAACGGUGGGGCCCUCCAGACCAUGCUUGAGGCUCUGAACAACCUUUCAGUCCCUGCGGCGCCCAAUUUCAUUGUCGGGUCAGAGGUGGAGGCGUCCUUGAGCAAGCUCAGGGAGCGUUUGCUCAAGGAGGGAGCGUCCGUGAUUGUUUUGACUGGUCCGGGCGGGUGCGGGAAGACCACUCUGCUUAAAAAAUUGUGCCAUGAUGUAGCAAUUGAAGGUAUGUGAUUAUUAUUUUGAUUGAUCCAGAACUAAAAAAAGUAGGAACGACUCUAUUGUAUUGAUCCUCGCCUGUUGGUCUUUUCCAAUAAUCUUUUGGUUAGCCAUUUAUCUGUAUAGGAGCUAUUGACCGAAUAACAUUCCACCUUUGGAAAUAUUUGAAUGAUUGUAUCCCUUACCUGUUCUCUCUGUCAAGCAUUACAGUUUCUGGUUGAUGUGAAUAUCUGCAUAUAAAGAAUUGCUUGGUGGACGUUUCAUCAAGAAGUCUUUUUUCUUACGUCCAAUCUGAUAGAUCUUUCCCAAGCUUUUAGAUAGCAAGAACUGGCCUCUGUUUGAUUGCGCUGGGCACCUUUCUUAAUUAGCUGAACCCUCCUUUUUACAGCCAUAUGCUUCAGGCUUAUUUUUUCUGCUAUAUGGUAUGUACUUAGCUCUGUUUCUUAUCCCACUGAGGCCAUUAAACGAAAAGCGUCACGGCAAAAUUUAGUACUCUUCGCAAGCAAUGACUUACUGUGGUUUCCAUACAGGCAAAUUUAAGGACAACAUCAUGUUCGUCCCUGUCUCAAAGAAGCCCAACCUGACAGACGUUGUCCAGAAAAUGUAUCGACAUAAUGGUUUCAAGGUACCCGAGAUUAAAUCGGAAGAAGAUGCAGUUCAUUGCUUGCAGCAACUGCUCAACAAAAUAGGACAAAAUCCUGUGUUGCUUGUGCUGGACGAUGUGUGGAAAGAAUCGGAAUCCAUUGUUGACAAAUUUGUCUGCGAUGAUAUCAAAGAUUACAAAAUUGUGGUGACAUCAAGAUAUGAGUUUCCUCGUUUUCGACCUGUGCAUCACCUGAACCCACUGACUCAUGACGAAGCGGUGGAACUUUUUCUUCAAUGUGCUACUGUUGAUGAUAGAAGCAUGGGUACACCAGAUACUAAGCUCUUAAGUGAGGUAUACUCUCGCUUACGUUCAUCAAUUAUUGCUGGUUUUUCCUUUAAGGGUUAUUCUAAUAAAAUCGGACCUGCCUAUCCUUACUUUCAUCUCUCGUUCAUCAAAGAGAGGCCUUGCUUUGUACUAAUCAUGACUAUCAAGUUCUGGUAAUUGCUUCUUUUUGCUUUGUGGCAGAUAGUAGAACACUGUAAGCGAUUGCCAUUGGUUAUUAAAGUCGUUGCCAAGUCUCUUCGGGGACAGCAUUAUGCAUUUUGGAGGAAAAAGCUUAAUGAAUUGAAUGACGGUGGUUCCCUUCUUGAUUCGGAGGUGGAAAUUAAUACUUGCCUCAGAAAGAGCUUGGACGACAUGAAUGGUGACCCUUCAAUCAAGGAACGUUUCAUGGACCUUGGCUCAUUUCCGGAGGAUUGCAAGAUCCCCGUCACUGCCCUUAUUGAUAUGUGGGUGGAAUUGUACAGGCUUGAUCCCAAUGGUUUGCGCGCCUUUACCGACCUCCAUGAACUCGUUUCUAGGAACCUAGCUGAUCUCGUAGUCACCAGGUAUGGCUCUGACGUUCGUUUUGUUCUCUCAUUCCAACUUUUCCAGUUUUCUACUGCUCUAAGAGUAGCUCAUGGAAUUCUAGUUGGCAUCUGGUUAGUUUUUCCUGAUACGUGAUGGUUGUAAUGCAUAUGUGAAAUGGACAAAGGCAUGAUGAGAUCUAUGCACCGAGAUUGAGAAAGUAAUGAAAAAACCCAAUAAGUUUAUUUUUGCUGGUACGAGACAAAAUAUCCUGUUUGCCCAAAAAUGGGCGUUCUAGAUGUUUCGAAUCCACGCCACCUGACCUUCAGCCAUAGUGUGUUCUAGAUAGUAAAGGUCAAAUGAUUUAUACGAAGUCUGUAAAGGACAUUUCUAACUCCUGAUUUAAUUUAUUAAUAGUGGGAAAGAUCAGAUGCCUUCAUUUCCUAUAGAACUGAUAUCAUCAUGUGCCUGGCACUAGAUUUUAGCACAAGAAACCCGAGCACAAAUGCUUAUCCAAGUGUUUUGAUUGCAUACAUACAGGAGAGAUUCAAGUGACGACCACGAAUCUUAUAGCAGCCACUAUUACAAUGGCCACUAUGCUCAACAGCACGAUCUGCUCAGAGAGCUGGUUAUCAUGGAGUGUGACAAGGGGGAAAUAGAGAAGAGAGACAGACUCAUUCUAGAGUUGAAUGGAAAUGAAUUUCCUAACUGGUGGAGUGAGCAAAAGCAACAGCCUCUUAGCGCUCGUCUAGUGUCCAUCUCCACAGGUUAGUAGCUCUCUCUCUCUCUCUUAAAGAUCUAUGGGGAAAAAUUCAACUGGUUAGUUAGCAGUUAGUUACCUUUCUAACCUUUUAUAAUCAUAAUGCAGAUAAAACAUUCUCAACACACUGGCCAUAUCUUGAAUUGCCUAAAGCUGAGGCUCUUGUCUUGAACUUCCAGAACGACAUGCAAUCUAAAACUUAUACUUUGCCUGAAUUCAUUGAGAAGGCAGAUAAACUGAAGGCCCUGAUAGUAACAAAUCACAGUUUCUUUCCGGCUGAACUAUGCAAUUUCCAUGUCGUUGGAGCCAAUUUAAGGAGGAUUAGGUUUCAACGCGUCACAGUUCCUUUCCUAAGCAUGGGAAACCUAUGCUUGCAUAGUCUGAAAAAGAUAUCCUUUUUCAUGUGCUAUAUUAGUCAAACUUCAACGUCGAAUGAUGCUAAAAUCUCUCAUGCAAUGCCGAAUUUAGUGGAGCUCGAUAUUGACUAUUGUGAUAAUCUUGUGGCAUUACCAGAUGGCAUUUGUGAGAUAAAGCCUUUGGAGAAGAUUAACAUCACAAACUGCCAUAAUUUCUCCGCUCUCCCCGCACAAAUUGGGCAACUAACGUCCCUUGAAGUGGUCAGGCUUAAUUCUUGUACAUCCUUGUCACUAUUACCAGACUCAAUUAGAAGCCUCCAGAAUGUGAAACUUCUUGAUAUAUCUGAAUGUCAGAAAUUGAGUGCCUUGCCGUAUCAAAUCGGUCAAAUGGUUAAUCUCGACAGAAUAAACAUGAGGGGAUGUUUGAAGUUGUCUGAGUUGCCAAGAUCGAUCGUGAAGUUGAGGAAGUUAAGGAAGGUGAUUUGUGAGAAAGAAAAAGCCGUCAUGUGGGGGCCUCUUAAGGACACUCUCCCUAGCUUGGCCAUCUCUCUCUUCGAAGAAGAACCCAACUUAGCUUGGCUUGAGUGACCAAGAGGGAGUAAUGACGUCGACGAUGUGUGGCUUCUUAUCAAAUAUGGAAGGUCGUUUUUGAACUUGUCAAUAUUGAUGUGGACCGACAAGUCAUAUUGUCUUUGAUAUUUUCAAGUCAGAAAUUUUUUAUUUUAAUUUUUUCUUCGUCCCAUUUCUUUCUUUCUUCCUCCUCACCAACAACGCUGCUGCAAACCAUAGCCACCUUGUGCCUACCAUUGCUGUCGUUGCCAAUGCCUAACUCGCCGCUCGUGCGCUUCACAUCUGAAGAGAGAAGUGUGCCUACAAUGUCAUAUGAGCAAAGCUUUUGGUGGUGUUCGUGCGUGGCUUUGGUGUGGUGGUAGCUGUCGGAGUGGCGCAACUGCAGAAAAUCGUUGCUGGUUGUGGUAAGGGGUGAUGGGUUCCCAAACGGUUCAGUUCCCCAUCCCAAAAUCGAGAACUGGAUCGGAGGGAGUGGUUCCCCAUUUUUGGAAUUGGGGAUUGGACUAGAGGUGCUUGGAACCGGAUCACAUUGGACCGAUGGUCCGGUUCUCGGUUCUCAGACAGUCCACCGGUCACGUAUGUUUGAAAUGCAAAUUCAAACAUGCAAAAAAAUCAAAUUACUUCCAAAUUUGUGGGAGCAUUGACCAACAAGUUAUACAUUUUAUCUUUGCCAAAAAGCUGAGAAAAGCAUGCUUUAGGUAGCCGCAUGGCUUGGCUUUUAUUUGAAUCCCUCCUACAGUUUUUGUAUGCUCGUUCGACGUGGGACUUUCGGAGCGGCUUCUGUCCGUUGGCUUUUGUUCACAACCAUCAUUUUUUGCUGGGCAAAUAUAGUAAUUUGCUUCGGGAGCUCUUGCAGGUGAGAGGGAGCGAGAGAGACGGGGGGGAGUGCGUGUGCGACACGAAUAGAGAGAGCUUUGAUUAAUUCAACAUCGACUGCUAGCAGAGGCAGUCUACGAAGUUUUUGAUCUCACUUUUAGCAGGAUCUACUAAGUUUACCAUAGAACCUAUCAAAAUCAUGAUAGAAUCAGAUUAUAGUUUAUGCUAAUGAAAUUAUUCAUGCAUGACACGAAUAGAGAGCUUUUGCUGGUCAUUUGAGUGGUUAAAGGUUUUUGAUCUUACUACUAGUGGGAUCUACAAAAUUUACCAUAAAACCUAUCGAAAUCACGAUGGAAUCGGAUUAUAGUGCAUGCUAAUGAAAUUAUCCAUUCAUGAUUCGGAAAAGAAUAAAACUCGGCCGUUACUUGCUUUCCUGAUCGUCUUGUGCUAACCCUGAUAAAUGGGUCGAGCCGGGAACUACCCAAACCUAAAUUCGUACCAUUCUUUUCCAACGUUUUGUCCGCCGGAUCUUCCUCGGGGUUAAUCCAAAGUCGCUGGAUAACAUCGGGCUGGAUGAAAGUUGCCGAUUAGCUCUCUCGACAAAGUCUUUCUCCCGAUGCAACUUGCGACACGGACAUGGUCAACGACUGAGAAAUUUCCAAUGGUCGCUCUUCCUAAGAAACUUCCCAUAUGAUGACUAACUUAUUUGCCCGGAGAAUAAACUUCAACCACUACUUCUAGAAAAAGAAUCUAUCUCGCCUUUCCGUUACAUCUCCCUUCUCCGUUGUUGCUUCAGAGACCCAAAAGCUCCUCUUCCUUCUUGCCUCUGCAGAAGACCCUCGCGACCUAUCAAAGUUUUGGAUUUUCUAGGCUUGUUCGGUCUGUGAAGAAAGAAAGAACAAGUAAUGGUUGAAUGCGCAGGAGCUGCUGUGGAAACAGCAUUCGGUGAGCUGUUCGCGCUUGUUAAGGACGUGGUGAAAACUGUUGCUGCUUUUCGUGGCCUGCUAGAGAAGAUCGAGUUUACUUUGAGCUCCAUAAAACCAGUCAUCAAUCAGAUCGACACAUACAGCAGUAUGCUGGACUGUCCGCAAGAGGUGCACCCAAUCAAGGUUGAACAACAUGCAAAUGCCUUUAUGGAAACAUUGGAGUGUCAUAAGAGCUGGCGGUCUCACAAAUCAAAGAGGAUUGCGUGAUUUUCGAGAUUACAAAUGGGUUACAACAUUUGAUUCACAUGUUUCCCUUGAUUUCCGAGAUAUCACAGAUUCCAGACGCGUUUUGCAGAUUUUAUAAUUAUGUUUUGAUAACUUUCCCUUUUAUUAAUAUAUUUUCCUUUAUUUUGUUAUUAGAUUUCAUUUAUUUGGUUAUUUUCUAAAUGGCGAUCUCCUUAUAAAUAGGCGCCUAAGAUAAUGUAAUAUGCAUUUCUUUAUUCAAAAUAAACAGAGUCUUUUGAAAUUCUUUCUAAGUAUAACUUUCUCUGCCUCGAAGGAGCUCAUGGAGUCGUCAAAUUCCAUGUUAGCGAAUGCCGAGGCCCUCCAGAGCGAGCUUGAGGUUUCGGGUGAUCUUGCGGUCCCUGCGGCGCCCGAUUUCAUGGUCGGGUCAGAGGUGGUGGCGUCCUUGAGCUUGCUCAAGGAGCAGUUGCUCCAGGAGGGAGCGUCCGUGACUGUUGUGACCGCCCCUGGUGGGUGCGGAAAGACCACUUUGCUUAAGAAAUUGUGUCACGAAGCGGCAAUUAAAGGUAUGUGUAAUUAGUAUUUUGAUUGAUUCAGAACUGAAAAAAGUAGGGAUGAAUUUAUUGAAAUGAUCCUCAAUAGUUGAUCUCCUCUAAAAGCCUUUUGAUUAGCCAUUUGAUGAAAGUUAUAAAAAAAAUCUUAAAAUCUAUUAUAUGAAUGUAAAUUCAGUCAUAAAUAUUUUAAUUUUACUAAUUUAAUCCUAAUUUUUUAAUAAAUUGUUAAUAUAAUCCUUCCUAUCAAUUUUAAAUUGAACAUGCUGACAUUGAUACAUGACCGGUGUAGACGUAGAUAAUUUUUAUAUUUUUAAUAUAUUUUUUGAACUUUUUUAUUAUUUUAUUUUAUUUUCCUUUUUAUUUUCCUUUCAUUUCCCUUUUCUUCAUUCUAAGACUGUCAAGGGUUGUAGGGCGACCACAUAGGGUUAGCCGUCGAACCUCGUCAGACUUAAUACGAAAACAAAUGAAAAAGAAAGAAAAAUAAAAAUAAAAAUUAUAAAAACUCAUACAUUUAAAAAAAAAUCAUAGAAAUUAUCUACUUUCAAGCCGACAUGCCAUGUCGGAUGGCUGUCCACGUCGAUGGCAAAUAUGUCAAAAGCCUUAAGAUUCAACUGACAAAAUUGAAUUUGACUUAAUGAAAAAAUUAGCAAAAUGAAAGGUUUAUGACUAAAUAACAUCUAUACAAUAAAUAUGACUUUUUUUGGUAAUUGUCCUGCUGUUUAUGUGUAUAGAAGCCGUUACCUAAAUUAUGUUCCUCUUUUGGACAUAUUUCAAUAAUUGAAUAUCAUGACAUGUUCUCUCUGUCAAGAAAUUCACUUUCUGGUAGAUGUGAAUGUUAGCACAGAGAAUUGCUUGGGUCUUACGCAGAUGGAUGUUUCAUCAGGAAGAAUCUUUUUCUCGUCGUUCCAUUUUGGGUUUGAUAUCAUGUCCAAGCUUUCAGAUAUGCAAUAACUUGGCUCUGUUUCAUUGCGCUGAGCACCAGUUCACAGCCAUAUACUUUAGACUUAGUAUUUCUGCUAUAUGGUAUCUACUUACCUCUGUUUCUUAUCCUACCGAAUUCAUUAAAAGAGAAGUAUCGUACCAAAAUUUCAUAUUCUUGCAAGCGAAAGGAGUCAGACUUACUGCGGUUUCCAUUUAGGCAAAUUUAAGGACAAAAUCAUGUUCGUCCCUGUCUCGAAGAAGCCCAACCUGACAGACAUUGUCCAGAAAAUGUAUCAACAUAAUGGUUUCAAGGUACCCAAGAUUAAAUCAGAAGAGGGUGCAGCUUAUUGCUUGCAACAACUGCUAAAAAAAAUAGGACAAAAUCCUGUGUUGCUUGUGCUGGACGAUGUCUGGAAAGAAUCGGAAUCCAUCGUCGACAAAUUUGUCUGCAAUGAUAUCAAAGAUUACAAAAUUGUGGUGACAUCAAGAUACGAGUUUCCUCAUUUCUGUCCUGUGCAUCACCUGAACCCACUGACUCAUGACGAAGCGGUGGAACUCUUUCGCCGAUGUGUUACUGUUGAUGAUGGAAGCAAAAGGGCACCAGACACUGAGCUCUUGAAUAAGGUAUAUUCUCGCUUGCGUUCAUCAAUUACAGGACUUCAUAUGGUCAUCGAAACUCAGGGUUAUUUUUUUCUUUAAAGAAUAUGUUUAAUAAAAUCAAACCUGCCUAUCCUUACUUGUAUCUCUCUUUCAAAGAGAGGCCUUGCUUAGUACCAUAUCAAGUUCCAAUAAUUGCUCGUCAUUUUUGCCCCUGUGCAGAUGGUUGUACACUGCAAGAGAUUGCCAUUGGUUAUUAGAGUCGUUGCCAAGUCUCUCCGAGGAAAGGAUUAUGCAUUCUGGAAUAAAAAGCUUCAUGAAUUGUCUGAAGGUCAUUCCCUUCUUGAUUUGGAGACCGAGAUUCUAGCUUGCCUCAGAAAGAGCUUGGACGACUUGGAUGGUGACCCUUUGAUCAAGGAACGUUUCAUGGACCUCGGCUCAUUCCCGGAGGAUUGCAAGAUCCCCGCCACUGCCCUUAUUGAUUUGUGGGUGGAAUUGUACAAGCUAGAUUUUGAUGGUGUGCGUGCUGCUACUGACCUCUAUGAACUCGAUUAUAGGAACCUAGCUGAUCUCGUAUUUCCCAGGUAUGGCCCCGAAGUUCAAUUUGUUCUCUCAACCAACUUUUCUAGUUUUCUACUACUGUAAGAUUUCCUCAUCAGAUUCUAGUCGGCAUAUAAUUAAUUUUUUUUUAUAGAUGACAGUUAUAAUGCGUUGAAAUGGACAAAUGCAUGAUAAGAUCUUUGCACCAAAAUUGAUAGAGUAAUUUAUGCCAUUUGAUGACCCGUAGCUAAUCCCAAAACGAUUAGAUUUUUCAUAGCGCCACGAUCUAUUCUGUUCCCAAAAAUGGGCAUCCUAGAUGUUUUAAAUCCACACCACAAUUACUGCGCCUGACUUUCAGCUGUAGUGUGUUCCGCAUUGCAAUGGUCAAAUGGUUUAUACAUAGGCCUCUAAAGAACAUUUCUAACUCCUCACUUAACUUCUUAAGAGUGGGAAAGAUCAAUGUCUUCUUUUUCUAUUAAAUUGAUAUUAUCAAAUGCAUGGCACUAGAAUUUAGCUCAAGAAACUCAAGCGCAAAUGCUUAUAUCCAAUUUUUUGAUUGUAUACAUACAGGAGAGAUUCAAGAGAUGACGCUGACGAAUCUUACCGUAGCCACUAUGUCAUGCAGCAUGAUCUACUUAGAGAGCUGGCCAUCAUGGAAUGCAAUCAAGGGGAAGUAGUGAACAGAGAGAGACUCAUUCUAGACUUGAUGGCAAAUAACUUUCCCAAUUGGUGGAGAGAGCAACAGCAACAGCCUCUCCGUGCUCGUCUAGUAUCCAUCUCCACAGGUUUGUAAUUCUCCCUCUCUCAAAGAUAUGUAGGGAAAAAUUCAUAUGGUUGGUAGUUAGUUACCUUCUAACCUUCUUCAAUCAUAACGCAGAUGGAAAAUUCUCAACAUCUUGGCCAAAUCUCGAAUUGCCUGCAGCAGAGGCUCUUGUCUUGAACUUUAAGACCAACAUGCAAACCAAAACCUAUGCUUUGCCUGAAUUCAUCGCAAAUUCCCCCAAGCUCAAGGCAUUGAUAGUAACAAACUACAGUUUCUUUCCCACUGAGCUGGGCAACUUCCAUGUCAUCGGUUCCAAUUUAAGGAGGAUUAGGUUUGAGCGCGUCACAGUUCCGUUCCUAAACAUGGGAAAGAUAUGCUUGCAGGCUUUAGAAAAGAUAUCCUUUUUCAUGUGCGACAUUGGUCAGGCUUCGACGUCAAAUGAUGCCAAAAUCUUAGAUGCAAUGCCAAACUUAAAGGAGCUCGACAUUGACUAUUGCAACGAUCUCGUGAGAUUACCGGAUGACAUCUGUGAGAUAAAGCCUUUGCAAAAGCUUAGCAUCACAAAUUGCCAUAAUUUCUCUGCUCUCCCUGAACAAAUUG